Molecule: long non-coding RNA, 2081 nt
Filed under: Sus scrofa (pig)
Lineage: Eukaryota; Metazoa; Chordata; Mammalia; Artiodactyla; Suidae
Description: lncRNA (ENSSSCG00050035360.1)
Source: RNAcentral
GAAGAAACGCUUGGAGUCCACCGUGAUGGAGGUGCCUUCCGGAAGCUCUCCGUAGAGGCCGCCCCCGGGGCCCCCGGCGCCGCCGCCCGGGCCCCCUGCCAGCUCGUCGUCCUCGCCGCCGUAGUCGUCGAUGAGCUUGGCCAGCGCGUCGCGGAACUCGAUGAGGCCCUGCGCGGGCAGCGCAAUGGUCUGGCCGCUCUGCAGGCCGCCGGGCCCGGGGCCGCCGCCGCCGCGGUUGACCGUCUGGCGGAUACGCAGGAAGCGGCCACGCUGGUUCUCCUUGAGGUCCAGUGUCUGAAACAUACAUGAUAAUAUCAUCUUCACCAUGACAACAACGUAAGAAAAAAUGAAGGACUCAACUAAGCAGUGGUAGUGGGGCUGAAGCGCCUAGGAAGGAGUUAACUUUUAUCAAAUACCUAUGUACAGGUACUGACAACCAUUUUGCGCGGAAGAAUUCGUGUGUCCAUGUUCACGUUGUGUGGAGAAACCGGAAUGGAUUUAAAAAUUGGUUCCCACUGUGGCCCAUUGGGUUGAGACUCUGACUGCAGCCGCUUGGGUCCCUGCGGAGGCACGGGCUGGAUCCCUGGCAGGGGCAGUGUGUUAAAGGAUCCAGUGUGGCCUCAGCUACAGUGGCUGUGGCCAGCGAUCAGUCUUUGCCCCUGAACUUCCACAUGCCUCCACCCGCCUUAAAAAAAAAGUGCAAAGCAUGUCUUUCCAUGGGAGGAGGUGUGUGCUGAGAGUCACUCUACGUGGGUCUGAACCCCAUUGUAGCUGUGAGGUCUUGCGCAGUUCAGUUCAUCUCUAAGGUUCCGUUGCCUCGCUUGUUAAAUGGGAGUAAUUGUACCUGUCUUGUGGGGUUGCUCUAAUGCACACAAAGCACAUAACCUGCAACAGAGGAAGCACUUUCCAAGUACUUAAUCACCCUUUUUCCUGUUUGGUAAGAAAGACCCAAUCAAACAAAUUUAAAAUAAUCGCUAUCAACCAAACACAAGGUCGUCCAGGGAAAGAUGUCAAAUUUGGGGCUUUGAACAUUUCAGUCCUGGAGAGGAUUUGGACAUUUCAAAUCCCUAGGGAAGGAAGGCCAUGUCAGGCACCACUAUGCCUUUACAGGAGAUGUCCAUGACGCUCCUCUAAUUUCUUGCUAAGCAAGCAACUUCCCUGUAUAGGGGGUCCCAGCACUCAGCUCAUGUGAAGCACUCUCUACCCUUCUGUUCAUUUCUACUAGUUUGGUUUUAAUGAGUCAUGUUCUAUUUAAUGAGUUAGAUCUAUUGCUGUUUCCUUUGAAAUUUCAUUCUUGGCUUUUAAGCUUAGGAUCUUCUCCCUUUUCGUAUGCUUGGCAGUUACACAUUUUCCAAACUUUAUCUUUUUUUUCUUUCUAGGGGUGAAUGUGCGGCCUACGGAAGUUCCCAGGCUAGGGGUCGAAUUGGGGCUGCAGCUGCCGGCCUACACCACAGUCAGAGCAACGCAGGAUCCGAGGUGCAUCUGCAACGUACAUACACCACAGCUCAAGGCAAUGGCAGAUACUUUUUUUUUUUUAGCUUUUAUUAUUUGUUUAUUUAUUUAUUUUUGCUUUUUAGGUCCGCACCCGUGACAUAUGGAUGUUCCCAAGUUAGGGAGUGGAAUCGGAGCUACAGCUAUCAGCCUACACCACAGCUCACGGCAAUGCCAGAUCCCCGACCCACUGAGCGAGUCUGGGGCUCGAGUCCCCAUCCUCAUGGAUACUAGUUGGAUUCAUUUCCACUGCACCACAACUGGAACUCCAAUGCCAGAUACUUAACUCACUGAGCAAGGCCAGGGAUCGAACCUGCAACCUCACGGUUACUAGUCAGAUGUGUUCCUGCUGAGCCUCAAUGGGAACUCCAGACUUUUUAUCGUUCUUUUUUUUUGGCCACACCUGUGGCAUGCAGAAGUUCCUGGGCCAAGGAUUGAACCCAUAUCGCAUCCGUGACAGUGUAAGAUCUUUAAGCCACUGAGCAACCAGGGAACUCCCUACAGUUUGAUUUUUUUAAUAUAUGUGAUUGUGUCAUAUAUUUAUAUUUUAUGUUUAACGCUAGUCUAUCUAGAAUAUAUUUUGGUCCGUA